Molecule: long non-coding RNA, 585 nt
Organism: Homo sapiens (human)
Lineage: Eukaryota; Metazoa; Chordata; Mammalia; Primates; Hominidae
Source: Ensembl
GGUGGGCGGCCCUUCCGGGGGCGUGGCCAGGCAGUGGAGCAGCCACCGGCCCUGACCUGGACCACGUGCUGGGCGCCUCCUGGCAGCCCGUUCUGCUCCCGAAUGCCCCGGCUUAGUCAGUCUGGGAUGCGGCCCUGGACACCGGGCUUUAUGCAGCUCUGAAGUGAUCCCAGCACACAGCCCGGGUCAAGCUCAGCGCUCGGCAACCAUAGGCACCCAACAACGGGCUGCAGCCAUCAGUAACAACGGCAGCUCCAACGCCCAGAGAACUCACGGAGCAGACACACAUCAGGUACUCCAGGUACACCAGCGAUUCAGGAUCAUCCCCAUGGCAGCCCUCCUUCCUCUGAAGGAUUUUUUCCCACUCUCCUCAGAUGAAGACGCGGAGGCCUGAGCGCUGGGGGUCGCCCGGGGCUGCACAGCGGGUCAGAGGCCAACCCUGGGCGGAGCCAGGCCACACCCUCCCUCAAGGAUUCACAGUCUCCCCAAAGUAACCGCAACGAGGGACCCUCCCGUCACCAAACUUCCUUUCAGUCACUUCCGCUUGUACUAAUUCUGGCCCAACCGUUCAUUAUAUUUUUACAA